UUAAGUUCAGCGGGUAUCCCUACCUGAUCCGAGGUCAAACCAUAGAAGUAGUUUGGGUUGUCCGGCGGGCGGCGCCCACGCUCCGAAGCGGAUAGAAUUGACUACGCUGGGAGGUUGACACCACUGCCUACGGGUUUCGGACACGUCCGUGAGGACGAGGUCCAAUACCAAGCAGAAGCUUGAGGUUUGAAAUGACGCUC
This 200-nucleotide unclassified non-coding RNA is filed under the name Tubeufiaceae sp. RNAcentral's name for it is "partial internal transcribed spacer 2". The record is from RNAcentral. Lineage: Eukaryota; Fungi; Ascomycota; Dothideomycetes; Tubeufiales; Tubeufiaceae.